CCUGACUGCUAUCGGAAUGAUACUAAGCCAUGUGAGUCAUUGUAGCAAUACAAGGCAGACGGCUCAGUAACACGUAGCCAAUCUAACCUAUGGACGGGGAUAACCUCGGGAAACUGAGGAUAAACCCCGAUAGAUCAUUAUGCCUGGAAAGGUUUAUGGUCCAAAUGAUUCGUCGCCGUAGGAUGAGACUGCGGCCUAUCAGCUUGUUGGUGAGGUAAUGGCCCACCAAGGCUAUUACAGGUACGGGCUCUGAGAGGAGAAGCCCGGAGAUGGGUACUGAGACACGGACCCAGGCCCUAUGGGGCGCAGCAGGCGAGAAACCUUUGCAAUGUGCGCAAGCACGACAAGGUUAAUCCGAGUGUUUCCUGCUAAAGGAAUCCUUUGUUAGUCCUAAAAACACUAGUGAAUAAGGGGUGGGCAAGUUCUGGUGUCAGCCGCCGCGGUAAAACCAGCACCUCAAGUGGUCAGGAGGAUUAUUGGGCCUAAAGCAUCCGUAGCUUGCUCUGUAAGUUUCCGGUUAAAUCCAUUAGCUCAACUAAUGGGCUGCCGGAAAAACUGCAAAGCUAGGAAGUGGGAGAGGUAGACGGUACUCGGUAGGAAGGGGUAAAAUCCUUUGAUCUAUUGAUGACCACCUGUGGCGAAGGCGGUCUACCAGAACACGUUCGACAGUGAGGGAUGAAAGCUGGGGGAGCAAACCGGAUUAGAUACCCGGGUAGUCCCAGCUGUAAACGAUGCAGACUCGGUGAUGCCCUGGCUUGUGGCCAGUGUAAUGCCGCAGGGAAGCCGUUAAGUUUGCCGCCUGGGAAGUACGUACGCAAGUAUGAAACUUAAAGGAAUUGGCGGGGGAGCACCACAAGGGGUGAAGCCUGCGGUUC
RNAcentral lists this ribosomal RNA (875 nucleotides) under uncultured archaeon. Its description in RNAcentral is "bacterial SSU rRNA". It matches the Rfam family "Archaeal small subunit ribosomal RNA", at positions 21 to 903 of the family's 1478-position model. The record is from RNAcentral.